CACCCUGCUUCCUGUUUAGGUUGCUAGCUGCCAUGAACCAUUUGAACCUCGAAUGACUCCUUUUCUGUUCAUUUUAGCCUAUGUUUCUUAACAAUUUUGUCAAAGGUUGUAACUUAGUCACAAUUUAAGAUGUCCGAACCGGGAAACAGACUCCGCAGGUUGCUGGAGUCGCCCAAUUUCGACCCACAGAAUUACGUGAAGCAGCUUUCCCAGCAGUCGGAUGGCGAUCGAGACCUUCAGGAGCACCGACAAAAGAUCCAAAACCUGGCCGAUGAGACGGCCCAGAACCUGAAAAAGAACGUCUACAAGAACUACCGGCAGUUCAUCGAGACGGCCAAGGAGAUCUCGUACCUGGAGAGCGAGAUGUACCAGCUGAGCCACAUCCUAACGGAGCAGAAGAGCAUCAUGGAGAGCAUCACCCAGGCCCUGUUAUCCACCGACAAAGAUGAAACCUCCAAGGAGAUGCAGGCCGCCUUCCCUAAGGAGAGUGAGGAGGUGAAGCAGAGGAGCCUCACCUCCCUUCUGGAGAAGGUGGAGGGAGGCAAGACCAUCAUGGACACCCCCGGGAGGCACCUGGUAUACAAUGGCGACUUGGUGGAGUUUGAUGUGGACAACAUGUCUCCCGUCCAGAAGGUACACGCCUUCCUCAUGAACGACUGCCUGCUGAUCGCCACCUGGCUGGCCAACCGGCGCGGGGCCGUAAAGUACAAGUACAACGCCUUGUACGACCUGGAGAGCUUCGCCGUGGUCAACGUGAAGGACAACCCACCUAUGAAGGACAUGUUCAAGAUCCUCAUGUUCCCCGACAGCCGCAUCUUCCAGGCGGAGAACAGCAAGAUCAAGAAGGAGUGGCUGGAGAUUUUGGAUGAAACCAAGAAGAACAAAGCCAACAAAGAGCACGGCAAGAAGGAGGAGGAGAAGACGCCGACGUCUCCCAUUCGGGUUGAAGUUUCCACCAAUCCUUUUGAUCAGGAUGAUGACGACGAGCAGGCUGAGGUGGAGGAGAGUGUGGACCUCGGUCUGGAGUGGAUCCAGGAGCUGCCCGAGGACCUGGACGUGUGCAUCGCCCAGAGGGAUUUUGAGGGUGCCGUGGACCUGCUGGAAAAGCUCAAUGAGUACCUGAAGGAGCAGCCGCUGACGACCAAGGUCAAGGAGCUGCGGGCCAAGGUGGACGAGCGAGUGAGGCAGCUGACCGAUGUCCUGGUUUUUGAGCUGUCCCCGGACCGCUCGCUGCGCGGCGGACCUCAGGCCACUAGGAGGGCCGUGUUGCAGCUCAUCAGGCUAGGCCAGUCCACCAAGGCGUGCGAGCUGUUCCUGAAGAACCGCGCGGCGGCCGUGCACACGGCCAUCCGGCAGCUGCGCAUCGAGGGCGCCACGCUGCUCUACAUCCACAAGCUUUGCAACAUCUUCUUCACGGGCCUGCUGGAGACGGCCAAGGAGUUCCAGAUGGACUUUGCCGGCAACACGGGCUGCUACUCGGCCUUCGUGGCGUGGUCCCGAUCGGCCAUGAGGAUGUUUGUGGACGCCUUCAGCAAACAGGUGUUCGACAGCAAGGAGAACCUGUCGACGGCGUCCGAGUGUGUGAAAGUGGCCAAGGAGCACUGCCUCCAGCUGACCGACAUCGGCCUGGACCUGACCUUCACGCUGGAGUCUCUGCUGGUGAAGGACGUGAAAGCGGCCCUGCUCAGCUACAAAGACGUCAUUGUCGAGGCCACCAAGCAUCGCAAUUCUGAGGAGAUGUGGAGACGGAUGAACCUCAUGACGCCGGAGGCUCUCGCCAAGCUCAAGGAGGAGAUGCGCGCCAGCGGCAUGUCGACGUUCGACGCGUACACGGGCGCCGACUGCUGGGUGAACCUGAGCUACACGCUGGUAGCCUUCACCAAGCAGCUGCUGAGCUUCCUGGAAGAGGCCCUGAAGCUUUACUUCCCCGAGCUGCACACGGUGCUGCUGGAGAGCCUGCGCGAGAUCGUGGUGGUGGCCGUGCAACACGUGGACUACAGCCUGCGCUGCGAGCAGGACGCCGACAAGAAGGCCUUCGUGGUGCUGAAUGCCGCCUUCCUGCACGACUGCGUGCUGCCCGAGGUGGAGCGCCGCUUUGAGGAAGCCGUGGGGAAGCCCGCCAAGCAGCUGCGGGAAUUACGCAAGAGCACCCGGCCCGUCAGGAUCAACCCAGAGAGCACCACGUCUCUUGUCUGACCUCCUCUAUGCUUCCCUUUUCACCCAUUGGACUUGAAUAAAAGGAAUGAAGGGGUGGUGAAUGCAACCUGGCUAUCAAAGGGCAGUAUUGUCUUGUAGAGACAAAUUUAAGAUCGUCACAACUACAAUGAGGACACAAGUCCUUUGCUGCCAUCUUGUGGCAUGUAUAGGAAAUUACAUUUCAUCUUGAAUGACAUGAGAUUGACCAGGUGGAAGUUUGGUCCUCAAGGUGGGUAAUUUAAACGAAAGAGAGCAACACAACAA
Molecule: RNA transcript, 2460 nt
Organism: Hippocampus comes (tiger tail seahorse)
Lineage: Eukaryota; Metazoa; Chordata; Actinopteri; Syngnathiformes; Syngnathidae
Gene: exoc8
Gene name: exocyst complex component 8
Exons: 7
Source: RefSeq, a predicted model, not a curated record